Molecule: long non-coding RNA, 253 nt
Organism: Dreissena polymorpha
Lineage: Eukaryota; Metazoa; Mollusca; Bivalvia; Myida; Dreissenidae
Exons: 3
Source: RefSeq, a predicted model, not a curated record
UUUUUUUUUAAACACAAAGUGUUUAAAAAGACUUAACACGACAUAAAUAAACAUCGUAAACUAAAAUCUACCAGACAUAUGCAAAGAACGCCAUCAGGAGGAGCAGUGGGUCUCUAGAGUGAUUGGGUAUUCGUCGCAGAAUGGGAGCGACAAUUAUAGUGCGCAGCAAAUACUGGGUGUUCCAGAUGUGUACCCUAGAUACGAGAAGGCCAUUAGUGCAUGGGCCCCAGAUGUCAUCGACAGAAACCAGUUC